RNAcentral lists this long non-coding RNA (29678 nucleotides) under Octopus vulgaris (common octopus). The record is from RNAcentral. Lineage: Eukaryota; Metazoa; Mollusca; Cephalopoda; Octopoda; Octopodidae.
AUCAUCAUCCGCAUCGACCUUAUUGAUGCCUUUAUUGUUUUAUUGUUGUUUUUGUUAUAUUUUCUGACAGUUCUAUGGAUGAAUCGAAGAUACCUUUGGGUACUCAUUGAAGAAAUCUGCAUGAAUGAUUUGCCUCAGAAGAUUUUGAAAUACUCAACUACCGACCCAGUUUAGCCUCAGGGGAAAAGAUAAGAAAUUUCUUUGGACAUAUUAAUAUUUCACAUUUUCGUAUACCUUCAUUUAGUUGUAAUUUAACAGGUUGUUUUUCUUUUCCAGUAGGGGUAAGAAAUGCCAAUCACAAAUAGGUAGCGCCUAUUAUGCCUCCAAGGAACAGUUUGAGAAAGGAACAAUACUGACUUCAAAUUGAACAAGGUAAAUUAGAAAGAAAUGACAUUUAGACAGACAUAUCUACGAUUUAAAAACACAUAGAAAUACAUGGCAAUACCAAAACAUGUUAAGAACACAGAUCUUACACUAUAACAUCUACAAGGAAGACAAUAGCGCCAGAUCUGUUAGCGUUACGAAACAAAAAGAAAGAAUUGCUGGACAUAAGUCAGCUCCAGCAAACAAAAUCACGUAGCAAAAGUAUUUGUAAGAAGACUGUCACCUCAGUCGAGGAGUUCAUGGAAGAGAGAGUAAGGAAGCCUGUAACAUAGAUCUGUAUCUUGAAAAACAGAGUGAGCCUUAGUGUAACCCAUAGGAGCUGUCAGAAGAAGGUGGCAUAUGAAACGAUUUGGCUUUUAUCAAUCCGUACACAGUAAAGCACAUGGUAACGUGUACUCGACUUUUUACACGACAGUGAUACAAGAAGACAGGCGGAGUUGACAUAUAACAGAAUACUACUGCAAUAUAUAGAGCGACGGAAUACAAAUAGCUAGGAACAUUAGUUGUGACGUUGACUCUUGGCAUGACAAUCCAUUAUAUGUCACGGUAUGAGUAGAUGUUGAAAGUAGAGGUAACUUGAAAUAUUAUGCGGUUAAGUGGUGUCUAUAUGGAUAUGCAACUCCUGAUAAUGCCGCGAAGACCACAUAGCGAUCGAGUUGCAUUACACCAUCGUAGAUACAAAAAAGAAUAAUAUCAGACUGAUGGUACAGAGCUGAAAGUCUAGUUGUUAUACAUGUCACAGCAAGAGUCACUUGCAGUUUUCUGCCCAGGAAAGAUGAAAAAGCAGACGAGAAGGAGAGAGCAGCGGAGAUAAGCAGAAAUAGAAAAAAACUACCAACAGUUCCCAGAAACUUCUGUUUCUAAAGCACCAUUUAAUCUCAUGCCUAAAGAUAGUCGGGAAAAUUAUCUCGAUCUCGGUGCGCAGGGCUAACCAUCAGGAAGCCAACUAACCUCAUCCCUAUAUGACUACAUGAUCUUGUAACGAUGGCGACUGGAUACUGGGAAUGUAUAGCAGGCCAUCGGAGAUAACGGAGAAAUUCAUAAAACACAGGUGGCGGGGACCAUAUUUCCACCUCGAAUUACAUGAUAUUCGUAGUCCUUCAAAUAGCCAACGAGGAAUUGAUGAAACUAUAAAACAAAUUGAAGGAUGGAAACGGAAGGAACAAUGAUCUGACAAGACGAGCUUGGUUAUCAUUUUAAAGAACAUCGAUAAGAGAGAGAGAGAGAGAGAAGGUGAAAAUCGCACCGGUAAUCUAUAAACAGCUAAAAAGAGCACUACUUUGAGGAUAUAAUCCUUGCUCAGUCUCACACCAAAAGUGCUUACGGGCACUUUCAAAAUUACCAGAUGCCAGGAGUAAAAGGUGCUCGGAGCCGUAAUAUGCUUUGAUCUAAUCAAGCUGGCGCCUUCUCACCCGUAUGUGAAUAUACGGCCCAUGUUUGCUUUUAUUUCUAUUCAUUUAGGUAUGUAUAUGCAUUUUAAUUUUUCUUGCACUCUAGGGUUCAUAAGGCCGGCUACACGGUUUUCAUGGCGUAUAAGUGUCCGAGAUCACAGCAUUCUCACUGAACGAGAUACCGGUCAGUUGCAGAGUUCAAGGCCAGCAAUUUUGAGGGGAAGGGGAAAGUCGAUUAUAUCGACUCCUGUACUUGACUGGUACUUUGUUUUAUCAACUUCGAAAGGAUUAAAGACAAAAUUGACAUCGACGAGAUUUGAACUCAGAAUGUAGAGAGCCGGAAAAAAAGUAUUAAUUUUAAUAUGUGAUCGUUAUUGCUAAUUUGUAAGAAAUUAUAAUUAUUGAUGUUGUUAGUGUUAUUAUUUCACGACUGCUUUAUAUGAAUGAGUACCAUUAAUUUACUUGUGUCUAUUGUGUGUCCCUUCUGAAUAAAUCAAUGCUUUGGUGCCAAACUAAGUAACCGUCAUCGUUAUCCUCAUCGUCAUCAUUAUUAUUAUUAUCCCUAUCGUUAUCACCGUUGUCAUCAACAUCAUCAUCAUCAUCAUCUGCAUCAAUAUCAUCAACGUCGUUGUCCUCUUCCUCCUCAUUAUCCUCAUCAUUACCAUCAUCAUAAUCAUCACCACUAUCGUCAUCAUCUUCCCUAUCGCCUUGAUCAUCAUCAUUAUCAUCAUCAUCAUCAUCAUCAUCAUCAUCAUCAUCAUCAUAGUCGUUGUAUAUUUCUUUUACCGCGUCUUCGAAGUUUGCCUUUCCAUAUUCUUGACAAUAGUGUCAAUUAAUUCCCUCAGACGAUUAAAAACUCAUAUGAUAAAACGAAAAAUUUUGUUUUCUUUCAAAUACAUAAAAAAAACGAAAGAAAAAUAAUAUGGUGAGUGAUAUGCGACAGUCUUCUCACUGAACCGUGCAUAUAAGCUAAGCAAAUUUAUGCAUCUCUAGGACUGUAUGUGACAGUAUGUGAUAAUGUAAGAGUUUGCAUCUGUGUGUGUUAAUUUUUCUUUGUCGCUUAAUAAGUAAGUUAGUAGUCAUAGCAACUAAUUUGACAGUUAAUGAUACAGAAAGCAAAUGAUGAAAGAAAGCACAAAAGAAAUAAAUGAAAUUACUCAAUUCUAUAAUUAUGUUGAUGAUGUAAAACGCGUAACCAUGGUGAUACUCUAAACAAUUUGAUAAUUGUGAUGGUAUAGUUGACAAAUUCACAGUUUUGAUGGCAAAGUAAACAAAUGCUACUGUCUUGUCUACGGUAGAUUAUUAUUUUGUGUUUUCCUUUAAAUCUUCGAGAUAAUAUAAAUAUUUCAGCAUUUGCUGACAGAGCAGCAUGAGUAAACAUUGAUCUCUGGUUCAGUCUACUUCGCUGAUAGACGUACUAUCAGUCAAUAUAGCUCCUGACUCUAACUAACCGUAGAGCAGGAUAAAAUAUCUAUUUAUUUUGUGUGAUUAUUUUGCCCAACGUCAAACAUCUUUUAACAUCUUUUAACAUAAAAUAUGAAUUUAUACAAAUUCUUUCUUGUUUAUCUUCGCGUAUUUUGUGACAACUUUGUAUGUGUGUUUAUUGUAUUCGUUAAUGGGCCAAACUGACACUAAUAGAGGAUUAGCACAAUCGUUAGCACGCCGGGCGAAAUGCUAAGGGGUAUUUCGUCUGCUGCUACGUUCUGAGUUCAAAUUCCGCAGAGAUCGACUUUGCCUUUCAUCCUUUCGAGGUUGAUAAAUUAAGUACAAGUCAAACACUGGGGUCGAUGUAAUCGACUAGCCCCAUCCCCCGAAAUUUCAGACCUUGUGCCUACAGUAGAAAUUAUUAUUAUUAUUAUUAUUAUUAUUAUUAUUAUUAUUAUUAUUAUUAUUAUUAUUAUUAUUAUUAUUAUUAUCAUCAUCAUUGAGUGACAGAGAAAUGCAUGCCACCAAAGUGACAGUAGGGUACAAAUAUACGAAGCUCAAUAUACCCAAUGUGACUACCUGUCUGAUAAGGGUACACCGGGCACAUGCAUCACAAACAUAUGUGCACGACAUGGUGAUCUCAUAUCAAGCUAAACAGCACAUGACCUUGCAAGUGGGGCCCAGUUAGAAAUUUCUUCAGGUGGAGUAGCCCAUCCCGCUCAAAAGAUCUCUGAAUAAGGUUUGUUUCCAGAGGUGAAUUAUUCAAACACCCCAAAAUUCCUUUCAAUACAUGACUAUGAUGCCCCCCCACCACUACUUCUGUUCCUGAUCAGAGAUGCGCAUAUCGUCAACCACUAAAGGACAUGCUCAACUGUUUAAGGUCAAACAACUAAUAAGCAAAUCUGUGGUAUUGAGCAGAAUAUUUGCUGUAACCCAUCUUAUAUGAUAAGACAAAACAUGUACAUGAUAACACUUCCAAUCAGUUAAGAUCAGAAGCUAUGAAAGCCAGUACCUGGUACUGCAUUAUUAUUAUUAUUAUUAUUAGUAGUAGUAGUAGUAGUAGUAGUAGUAGUAGUAGUAGUAGUAGUAGUAGUAGUAGUAGUAGUAGUAGUAGUAGCAGCAGCAGCAGCAGCAGCAGCAGUAGUAGAAGUAGUAGUAGUAGUAGUAGCAGUAGCAGUAGUAGUAGUAGUAGUAGUAGUAGUAGUAGUAGUAGUAGUGGUGGUGGUGGUGGUGGUGGUGGUGGUGUCCAUGUUGUUAAUUCAAAUUCCUCCGAGGUCGUUUUGUUUUUGCUUUUAUUCUUCCGGAGUCGAGCCUGCAGUUAAUAUAAUCUAUUCUCCCCACAAAAAUCCCAUCAAAAUUCCAGGCCAUGCGCCUAUUGUAGAAAGGGAUUAUUGUUAUCAUCAUUACUAUUAUUAAGCACAGUCGCAUAAUCGAAAACUGAGUCUUUAUUCCAUUAUCCAAGGAACCUAAGCAUUAUGUUAAUCAAUCUCUGGCAUUCUUUUAACUGGAAUAACUUCGUAAAGAGAAAGAGACAGACAGACAGACAGACAGACAGACAGACAGAAUGGAUGUAUGACAUGAUGUUGGCAGUGAGGAACAAACUGAAAACAAAAUUUUAAUAGCAGGUUAUGAAAACGAGUUUUGAAAUGAGAGGCCAUGCACUUCAAUCUCAGCUUCAACUAACAGAUGGCGGCUGCCAGUUGAUAUAAUAAUUGAAAACUUUGCUCUUUAUGAACAAGACACACAACAUCAACAACAUUUUUUAACAACUUAGUUACAAAUCUGAAGAUGACCAUCACAUACAAAAGGAACUGCGAUAUGAUUAACAUCUAACUAAAUCUUCUACGACUCAGCAACACUAAGUUAUGGGAUUGGCACUUAAACCGCUCUAAAAUAUCGGCAGUAUUUCACAUUCUCUUAUUUACAGUCAAAUGUUUAAAAUGCCGAACAAACAGAGGUACACACACAUAUAUGUAUAAACAUGCACAUACAUACAUACAUACAUACAUACAUACAUACAUACAUACAUACAUACAUACAUACAUACAUACAUACAUACGUACAUACAUACAUACAUACAUACAUGCAUGCAUGCAUACGUACAUACGUACGAACGCAAACACUACACACACGUAUAAGUGGCGCCCACUCAAGUGUCGCGUUUUUGUCAAUGAGACUUGCACGCACACACAAAAAUAUUACAUUGAAAGAUUACUCGUAUAUAUCUAUAUUUAUAUGUAUUUUGUGUCUGUGCUUGCCCCCCACCACUACCACCACUUCACAACGGGUGUUGUUUUUUCAUGUCCCUGUAACUUAGUGGUUCGGAUGUGAGGCACCGAUAGAAUAAGUAUCAGGCUUCCAAAAAUUAAGCCCUGGGGCCGAUUUGUUCGACUAAAAUUCUUCCAGGCGGUGCACCAGCAUGGCUGCAACCUAAAGAUUGGAGCAAGUAAAUCAUAAAGGAUACACACACACACACACAUACAUACGUAAAUGUCGAACGACGCGUAUGAGUUUUCAACACCACAUAGGUGGAUAGAGUUUAUUUGUAUAUUAAGGCUACCAUUGGUUUCAUGUUAUGAAACAUAUCUUAAUAUCUUAACAAUGUUUCAAGCCGAUCACAUGGAAGGAUGGUGUUCGUCUCCAUUAUGGAAAAAAAGCGCAAAUUUUAUGAAUUCACAGGAAGUCUCGUAAAGAAAAUAAUAUAUAUAUAUACACAAAGACACACACAUAUAUGUUUUGUCUUUUAUCUUCAUACACAUAUAUGUGUGUCUGUACGUAUCCCUCACCACCGCUUGAUAAAUAAUUUCGGAUUGCUUUGAAUACAUUGCGUUAACAUGUAUUUUCGGGACGCUAUUGUCGGUAUUUGAACGAUUUUUUUGUGUUGAUACAACAGAAACGAUUGCAGACAUUGUAUGGUGAAUUCAACAAUUAAAGAUGUGAUUUUCUCUAUGCAUGUUUUUACUUGAUAUAUAUAUAUAUAUAUGUAUAUAUAUAUAUGAUAUAUAUAUAUAUAUAUAAUUUUAAUCCAAACGGGAAAACAAAAAAACAACAACAGUGGAACAAUUACAGUAUUAUUAUUAAUAGGCGCUCAUAUAUAUAUAUAUAUAUGUAUAUAUAUAUAUAUAUAUAUAUAUAUAUAUAUAUAUAUAUAUAUAUAUAUAUAUAUAUAUAUGUAUAUAUAUACAUACACACACAUACACACACACAUAUAUAUAUAUAUAUAUAUAUAUAUAUAUAUAUAAUAUAAUAUAAUAUAAUAUAAUAUAAUAUAAUAUAAUAUAAUGUUAAUAUAAUGUUCAUAUAACUCUCUGAAUCAGGAUCAUUCUCAUUUUUGGACGAGUGAAAAACCAAGUCAUCUCCGGGGGUUAUUGGGAUUCAGAAGCAAUAGACAGAAAGAGAGAGAGAGAGAAACAGCCGAAUAAUUACCAUUUUGCUUCCAGCUUUGGCGCCAACCGUCUUUAUAAUGACAAUUUGCAGUACAGUUGCGAAGAUAAGCAGUAGCAGUAGUAGUAGUAGUAGUAGUAGUAGUAGUAGUAGUAGUAGUAGUAGUAGUAGUAGUAGUAGUAGUAGUAGUAGUAGUAGUAGUGGUAGUAGUACUGUCCUGUUUCAGAUGAAGAGAGUAUGUUAUACAUGGGAUAAAAGACUCGAGCAACAACAAAAACAGGCUAUUGACCAGUGUGUAACCAACCUUACAAAUCAGCCAUAGGCUGAUGAGAUAAAUUAAGCAGCCAAUCGAAUAAUAGUAAUAAUAAAUAAAUAAAUAAAUAAAAUCAAAAAUACAAUCUCUUAAAAUUUGAAAUUGCAAGAAUUUGGAAUAUGAAAACUGUCAAAAUUGUGUCUUUGAUAAUUGGUGCAUUGGGAACUAUAAACAAAGAUAUAGAAAAAUGGUUGAAAGAGACUGGAAUAGCUUUGUAGAGCUUUUACAGUGAGUUUGCCGCUUAUAGACACGAAAGAUUAUCAAGAGGGUUUUAAGCACUUAAAGUACUAUUGAAAGAUUGUGGGUACCUAAGGUUACAGGUAUUCAUGGCUACAAAUGGGCUAUUAUUCAACUGACAAUGAAUUUUCAUUUUUACCUAUCAUCAUAGGUGCAUUAGACUAUGUACCUACAUAUUUUCACAAAAACCUACAAAUACUAGAUUUUUCAAAGAAAGAGCAAUAGAAACCGACGCGGAUUCUCAAAAUUAGCGGAACAAUGAAUAUUUAUAAGACAUUCCAAAGAUUCUCUCAUCUGAAAUUCUUCUGCGAAUAAAUGCACGUACUUGGGUAUAUGCAUCGACAGUUCAACCAACACACCAACUCAACCACAUAUUUACAAACGCUCUCUUUUACUCUUUUACUUGUUUCGGUCAUUUGACUGCAGCCAUGCUGGAGCACCGCCUUUAGUCGAGCAAAUCGACCCUAGGACUUAUUCAUUGUAAGCCUAGUUCUAUCGGUCUCUUUUGCCGAACUGCUAAGUUACGGGGACGUGAAGACACCAACAUCGGUUGUCAAGCGAUGUUGGGGGGACAAACACAGACACACAAACAUAUACACACACAUACAUACAUACACACAUACAUACAUACAUACAUACAUACAUACAUACAUACAUACAUACAUACAUACAUACAUACAGACAGACAGACAUAAUACAUACAUACAUAUAUGUAUAUAUAUAUAUAUAUAUAUAUAUACAUAUAUACGACGGGCUUCUUUCAGUUUCCGUAUACCAAAUCCACUCACAAGUUUUUGGUCGGCCCGAGGCUAUUGUAAAAGACACUUGCCCAAGGUGCCAUGUAGUGUGAAUAAACCCGGAACCAUGUGGUUGGUAAGCAAGCUACUUACCACACAGCCACUCCUGCGCCUACUCAAUAAGUUUUGUCACUUUGUUAGCGACUGGCUUGAAUUCUUUUAAGAACUUAAAUAAAACUAAAAGAAAAAAACAUACAUACAUAUAUACAUACAUAUAUAUGUGUGUGUGUGUGUGUGUUUUUGUGUGUGUGUGUUGUUACGUAUAUGACUAUGCAUGAGUAUAUUCCAUACACAUGUAUAGAUAAAAUAAAGUGUGGUGUGAGUGUACGUAUGUGUGUGUGUAUGUGUGUGUGUGCGUGUGUGUGUGUGUGUGCGCGUGUAAAAGUAUAUAUGAACAAAUAUGCAUUUGAUUACACAAAUAAAACAAUGCGUAAUUGAUAAUUUAUAAGAUAUUCAGUUACAUCAUCUUACGUACGCUUCAUUAACAUAAGGUGAUUAUUUGUUACAUAAUGUAAAUUACAUAAUCAAGUCCUAUUGCCCAAUAGUUAGAGAUAUGUGGCUUUUAAGCAUAACGUUAUUGGAUUCAAAAUAUGCUGACAGCAUUCACCAUUGUGGAGGAGAAAUCUGUCAACAUCUUUUCAGUCUAAUAAUGUUUUAAGCCAGUAACAGUUUUCUGAUUAACAUAACAUUGCUGAUAAUUUAGAUAAACACUAUUUUUUUAAUUAAUUUAAUUUAAUACAACUAUGAAUCACAAUCAUAUAAUUAUAAAUUUGGUUGUUUAUCUUAAUGAAAAAGCUUUUGAAUAUAAACUAUAGUAUUAACUAUAUGUGAGAUUAUGUUUAUUAUGCUUUUAUGCUAUCUCCCUCUUCAUCCAUCUCUCUUACUUACUUACUUUCUUUCUUUCCUUCUCUCUCUCUCUCUCUCUCUCUCUCUCUCUCUCUCUCUUUAUAUGUAUUUAUAUAUUUAUGGAUAAAUAGAUAAAUACACCAAUAUGAGGAACAUUAUAUCUCGCAAAAAUCACCAAGUGUUUACCAGUUAUAACUAAAGCUUGCCCUCUUGACAAAGUGAAUAUGAUAAAUUCUGUCACAUAUGAGGCUGAAAUUGCAUCUACAUUCCAAGGCAAAUCAAUUGGAAAGAAGAAUUACAUCGGGCUAUGUGAGGGCAAAUUUAAGAGACGUUGUGCAAACCACCUAUCAUCUUUCUGGCACAUCUAUAAAAGUAAUGCAACUAAAUUGGUUAUGUAUGGAAUUUGAAGAGUAGCUCCACAUCACAUACAAUUAAAUAGAGAACAGUGGAGAAAUCCAAGCCAUAUGUUAAUGAAUCUAAGAAAUGCUAUUUAUGCAUAGCAGAAAGAUUUCAUAUUUUUCUUCGAUCCAGCAAUUCCAACACACUGCUUAAUUCGAGAUCUGAAAUUUUUAGCAGGACAGGUUUCUUUUAACGAAUUGGCGGGUACCACCCGCUCCGAAUUGAGUCUUGUAGACUUAGACAUAUUUUCUGGUAUUGUGUUCUAAACCAGUUGUAUUCAAUGUGCUUUCUGCAAUCAGGGAGGACGAGGAUCGUAAUUUUUUAUUUCGUUUCCUUUUUUCGUUCCAUUUUUGCACCGACUGUCUUCACAUUUUUCAUAUUUUCUUACUGACCAGCGUCCUUGUAUUAUAUAUAUAUAUAUAUAUAAUGCAUGCUUACUUUGUUUAAUGCUGUCCGUCAAUGUUGAUGACGACGUUGUCCUCUAGGAGUUUUAAACAUAGCCUGGAAGAUUGCUUUGAGAUACAUGGCGUAUUUUAUAAAUAUGCCUGUUCAAGUAUCAUAAUAGCAUGAAAUUAUUAGUAGCUUUUCCAAUUGCGUAUCCAAUUUAAUAUGUGUGUGUGUGUGUGUGUGUGUGUGUGUGUGUGUGUGUGUGUGUGUGUGUACACAAAGAUCCUAGAUUAUUCAAUACAAAUUAUAUUACAAUAUGUAAAUAUAUGAAUUGUAAAAAUAAACGCAUUUUCCCCUAUUGUAAGUAUAUUUUCAAUUAAUUUAAUUACGAUAUAUACGUUUACCGUAGCUAUCGACUUUUACAUAUGCAUAUCUAGUGACCAUGCUUUAUAUACAUUCAUAUAUUCUUUCAUACAUACAUAUAUAUAUAGAUACAUACAUUUAUAUAUACACGUGUACGCACCCAUGCACACACGUAUCCAACUGUGCUGCUUCACACGUAAAUGUAUGUAUACAUGUAAGUUUAUAUCUGUCUCUAUAGUUAAGUGAAAGAUCGAUGUGAUGCAUCUAUCCACAUAUUAACAUAUAAAUCAAUGUUGGCUUAGUUUUUUAAUAUGCAUUUCUCUGCGUGUCUGUUUGCCUGUCAGUCAGUAGAGUUGACUACACGUCUGUCCAUUUGCAUCAGUCAACUACGCAAAUGCAUAUUUACUCUGAAGAACAACAUGAAAAAGCUAAUGGAAAAAUCAGAUAUGCAACAAAAGGAGAAAUAUUAGUUACUAACAAAUAUUAGGUUUCCAUCGGCAAGUGCGGCAGAUAACUCUGAAUAUAUUCCACUUUUAUUUGAAUUUCUUCAGAGCUAAUGCAAACUCAGUUAAAGUUGCCGAAGUAAUUGUGAUCAAACUGUCAAGUUUAUUUGAUGUUGUAGAAUAAAGAAAUAGUGAAAUGUCAAUUAAACUCAUGUGCGACUUCCUAUCAACAUUUCUGAUCUUUGUUUUAACAUUUUAUGCAUGUCUUUCUUUCGUUCUCUGUUUUUUUUUCUAUUCGUGUAUGCGAGGACAUUUAAGCAUAUCUAUCGUUCUUGCCGUCUGUCUCUCCAUGUUUAUCUAAGCAUCUCUAAAAUCAAAGACAACUCUGUUAUCUUCUGUGUAAUUUUUUUAUACUCCAUCUAAGAACAGAAUAAUAUUCCCAGUGGUUGUGUAAAUUAGUUACAGUAGAACAGUGAUGCGGCGAGAGAAUGAAAGGAAAAAGAAUUGCUUUGUGAUAGAAAUAUUUUUCCUUAACAAAAUUUCACUUCUGUAUGGCCAAAGAAAUAUCACUUCUUUGAACUCAAGUAGCAUUUAUGUAUAUUUGGCAUCAAGUUGUGUCACUGCUUGGCUGGAUUUAGAAUGUAUAAUCAAUAUAAAGAUAGAUAGAUAGAUAGAUAGAUAGAUAGAUAGAUAGAUAGAUAGAUAGAUAGAUAGAUAGAUAGAUAGAUAGAUAGAUAGAUAGAUAGAUAGAAAGAUAGAUAGGUAGGUAGGUAGGUAGGUAGGUAGGUAGGUAGGUAGGUAGGUAGGUAGGUAGGUAGGUGGAUAGAUAGAUAGAUAGAUUUAUAUAUAUAUAUAUAUAUAUAUAUAUAUAUAUAUAUAUAUGUAUGUAUGUAUGUAUGUAUGUAUGUAUGUAUGUAUGUAUGUUUAAUUCAAAAUUUUGAGUCAACUGGCUAUAUCAAAUAUAUUGAACAAGAGAGAUUACUAGUUACUCAUAUUAUGACCUAAAAAAAAUAAACUAUAACACCGGUUUAACAUUUUUUCCGCAUCUCCUAAAUAAGUACAAUAUAGUCUUUUUGAUAUACCUAAUACUUUUUUCUCUUAGAACACCGGAAAGUAUAUCUUAACCCAUUUAAAUCCUAAAUAAUACCAAUAUUGUAUUCCUCUGUGUUACUUACAAAAAACAUUAUUGUAGUAUAAUAUAAACAAACUUUUCAUCACUUCUUCCUUUACAUUUCUCAAUCUAAUUCUUUGUAUCUUAUACCCCUAAUGAUAAGUUACAUUCGUCUUUAUCCCAUUUUCCUCCCAGAAACUUUUAUAAAUAUAUUUUUCAAAUGUAUUGUGGUGUUUUAGCAACAUUUCAACGAUCAAUAUUAGAUAAAUUUCAACGAUCAAUAUCUAAUCCCAUGAACUCCACAACCUAAUAAGUUGUUUACAUUUGAAAAUUUCGAAACACAGUCCUCAAAUUAUUCAUUUCGUAAUUCAAGACCAGAAAAUUUACUUACUUUCCCCUGAAGAUACCCAACAAUAUAUGUUUUUUUUUACAUCUAUAAUCGUUUGAAUGUUGAUAAUUGAAACAUGUGCAGGAUUUUCUUUUCGGAUACUUUUGGGUUGCUUUGUUGAUCCGGUUUCUUUUAUCCUUAUUCUUAUAUGUAUCACUUUUACUUUGCGGGCUCAGUGGUUAGAGCGUCGAGCUUACGAUCGUGAGGUUGUGAGCUCGAAUCCCGGACCGGGCUGCGUGUUGUGUUCUUGAGCAAAGCACUUUAUUUCACGUUGCUCCAGUUCACUCAGCUGUAGAAAUGAGUUGCGACGUCACUGGUGCCAAGCUGUGUCGACCUUUGUCUUUCCCUUGGAUAACACUGGUGGCGUGGAGAGGGGAGGCUGGUAUGCAUGGGCGACUGCUGGUCUUCCAUAAACAACCUUGCCCGGACUUGUAUCUAGGAGGGUAACUUUCUAGGUGCAAUCCCAUGGUCAUUCAUGACCGAAGGGGAUCUUUACCCCCUUUUUACUUUUCCAUUGUGAUACAAAUAAAAUAAUCAAGUAUCUAUUAUACUUUUUCUUCUCCAUUUCCUUUUAUUUAUAUAUAUAUAUAUGUAACUCCAAGAAAGUUAGAGGUUGUGAAUCCAACCCACUAAAGGAUAAUAUCUAUCCAAUAUACUGCUGGUAGAAUACCCGAUUAUUAAUACACAAGUGUUUUUUAUUGCAUUGUAAUUACAUUACCUUGUGUACUAAAUGGGUGAAGGUAAAGAGAUAUUUUACCAUUAAUUUAUAUAGCAAUAAGAAAAUGGAGGGGAUCAAUAGGUGGUUCAUCAAUUUUAGACAUUAUAUUAUGUUAACUUAUUUACUAAACUGAUAAUUACAAUAACACACAUACAUAUAACAUAUUAUGCUUUACACACACACACACACACGUGUAUAUAUAUAUAUAUAUAUAUAUAUACGAAUAUGAACAAGAAGGGUAGUAAUAUUAUUUACUACCAGGUGCCCAGCACAAAAGACGAAUUAGUCAUAAGACAAAAAUAUUAUUCAUGUAGUUAUACAAUUAAGGGCUCCUAAAUUAAGAUGCCGAGUGCUGGGAACACAAAAAGGGGAUGAUAUAUAUAUAUAUAUAUAUAUAUAUAUAUAUAUAUAUAUAUAUAUAUAUAUAUACGUAGCUGUGUUGUAAGAAGCUUGCUUCCCAACCACAUGGUUCCGGAUUCAGUCCCACUGCGUGGCAGCGUAGGCAUGAGUCUUCUACUAUAGCCCUGGACCGACCGUAGCCUUGUAAAUGGAUGUGGCAGACGGAAACUGAAAGAAGCCCUUCGUAUAUAUAUAUAUAUAUAUGUGCGUGAAUGUGUGUGUGCAUGCUUAUCUAUGUGUAUAUAUUCAUACAUACAUACAUACACACACAUAUAUAUUUAUAUAUCAUAAUAGCUUGUACAAAAUAUUGCUUGCACAAGCCACCGAGACAAUGAAACAAUUAUAUGAUAUUCUGACAUUUUUUAAUGAACUUAUUAUAUAGCGCAGCAGGUUAAAUCCAAGUAAAGCUGAAAUUUAAUUAUCACGAGGAAAUCCACCCAAACUAUAUGACGGAACAUAUAAGUAAUUUGGUAACUACUACUACGACACUAGUUGCCUAUAAUGACCUAAAUCUUAAGACUAAGAUGCUUUGGUAUCCAUGCUUCUGCGAGACCAAGAAGCAUUGCUAUCUCAAGCCUUUACAUAUAAUUCAAAUCAUAGGAAGCGAUACAUUAAUUGUAUAAAAACAUAAUUCGUUCGUUAUAAUCGCUAAAAUAUAAAAUUACAAGCAAUCUAUAAUUUCGAAGAUUCUCUGAGGAAGCAAUAUCUUCUAUUGGUGAGUAAAGGCAAGAAAAACGUGCAAGACGAGUAUCAUUAUAAUACAAGACAUUUGAAUGGGAUAGGACACAUAUACAUCUUAUUCUGUACAGAAUAAGAUACGUACACACUUUCUACAUGGUAUAGGAGAAAUGCACAACAUUUCUAAUGUACAAGACACAUAUGCAAUGUCUUUGCAAUAUAGGACACAUACCAACUAUUUAUAUUGUAUAGAAUACAUACGCACUAUCUUUAUGGUAUAGGACACAUAUGCACCAUCACUAUGGUGUAGGACAAAUAUAUGCUACUUUUAUGUAUAGGACAAAUAUACACUAUGUGUAUAGUAUAGGACAAAUAUACUCUAUAUAUAUAUAUAUAUAUAUAUAUAUAUAUAUAUAUACGUGUGCAGACAGGAUGUGGAAUAGCCAAGAAGCCGAACAGACACAAUGCCGAACGGACAUAAAGCCGAAUGGACACAAAAAAAAAAAAUCCUACCUACAUAAUUUAAUAAUCAAUUUACCAAUUUGGAAUAUAUAUUCACCAAUUUGGCAAUUUUAUUAUAUAUUUUAAUUUUCGGCAUCUUGUCUGUUUGGCUUUAUGUCCGUUCGGCACUGUGUCCGUCCGGUAUUGUGUCCGUUCGGCUUUAUGUCUGUUCAGGAUUGUGUCCGUUCGGCUUCUUGACUUCGGCUUCUUGUCCUUCGGCAAAAGUGCAUUCAGCACCCCGUCCGUGUACCUAUAUAUAUGGUAUAGUACGCAUAUACACUAAGUAUAUGUUAUAGUACACAUAUACACUAUCUGCCUACUAUGGAACAAAUACACACGAUCUGUACAGAACUGACUUUUGUCUGCCUGCACAGAACAACGGAGUAUAGAUUCGUUUGUAUCGAGUCUACUUCGGAGUUGUUACAGAUACAACUGAUUCAACGGAGCCUCUAUGCGAGCAUUUGUUUAUUUUGCUGAUUUCGCAAUGCUCCCUCAAAUUUUCAGUCAUCAGUAAGAGUAAAACUCUUAUGUUGCACAUUAGUGUUCUUUUGACAAAGCUAUGAGCACACUAUAAGCACAUAGAAGGUAACUAAUUCUCCGCACGCACAGUUUAGCAAGUACAGUAUCAAUAGGAGAACACGGACUACUAAAUAAACACUUGUUAAUUUACACUGAUACAGGUCUUUACAACGGUGAACUGAACAUUGUGUAAAUUAGUUACAUAAUGAGGUCUGAGUAUGUGGGAGAUAUAUACCUUGAUGACAUACAUACAUAUAUAUGUAUAUAUACAUACGUAUAUACGUACAUAUAUAUAUAUAUAUAUAUAUAUAUAUAUAUAUAUGUAUGUAUAUAUAAAUAUAUGUAUACAUAUAUAUAUAUAUCACCAUGAUCACCAUGACCGACCAGGCUAUCAGAUGUUGCUACACAUCGCUGGUCACAAUGCGCUUCGCAUUGUUUUAGCCUUCAAAUUACGCCACCUCACUGGCUAAGCGAGCAGGCCUACAGGAGAAAGAGUGAGAGAAAGUUGUGGCGAAAGAGUACAGCAGGGUUCGCCACCACCCCCUACCGGAGCCACGUGGAGCUUUAGGUCUUUUCGCUCAAUAAACACUCAAAACGCCCGGUUUGGGAAUCGAAACCGCGAUCCCCUGACCGCGAGUCCGCUGCCCUAACCACUGGGCCAUUGCGCCUCCACACACACACACACACACACACAUAUAUAUAUAUGUGUGUGUGUGUGUGUGUGUGUGUAUAUAUAUAUAUAUAUAUAUAUAUAUAUAUAUAUAUAUAUAUAUAUAUGUAUAUAUAUGUAUAUAUAUAAGCAUAUGGCCCAGUGGUUAGGGCAGCGGACACGCGGUCGUAAGAUCGCGGUUUCGAUUCCCAGACCGGGCGAUGUGAGUGUUUAUUGAGCGAAAUACUUAAAGCCCCACGAGGUUCCGGUAGGGGGUGGUGGGCAUCACUACUGUAGUCUUUCGCCACAACUUUCUCUCACUCUUUCUUCUGUUGGCCUGCUCACUUAGCUAGCGGGGUGGCGUCAUUUGAAGGCUAAAACAAUGCGAAGCACAUUGUGACCAGCGAUGUGUAGCAGCAUCUGAUAGCCUGGUCGGUCACCGUGAUCACGGUGAUAUAAGCAUAUAUAUAUAUAAGCAUAUAUAUAUAUAUAUAUAUAUAUAUAUACACAUAAGUAUAUAUAUGUGUAUAUAUAUAUAUAUGUAAAUAUAUAUAUAUAUAUAUAAACAAUUCAAGGUAUUUUUUGAUGUGCUGGCCAUUGAUAAGAUUUUUUUGAAUUGUUUAUAUAUAUAUGUAUUAUAUAUAUAUAUAUAUAUAUAUAUAUAUAUAUAUAUAUAUAUAUAUAUUUACAUAUAUAAAUAUAUAUAUAUAUAUAUGUACACAUAUAUAAAUAUAUAUAUAUAUAUAUAUAUAUAUAUAUAUAUAUAUAUACAUAUAUGAUUAUAUAUACAUAUAUAUAUGCUUAUAUCACCGUGAUCACUGUGACCGACCAGGCUAUCAGAUGUUGCUACGCAUCGCUGGUAUAUAUAUAUAUAUAUAUAUAUGUAUGUAUGUAUGUAUGUAUGUAUGUAUGUAUGUAUGUAUGUAUGUAUGUAUGUAUGUAUGUAUGUAAGUAUGUAUGUAUACGAACAACGCAAUGUUGCGGUACAUGCAAAGUAUUAAAAGACGCUCAGGGGAGGAAGGAAAAGGUAUUUUACGUUUGAAACAAAACUCUUCUUCAGAAAUAGGAGACAGAGGAAGGUCAAAGAAGAAAGGAGGACGGAAGAAAAAAUCGUCGACAUGUAGUUACAUAUACAUAUGUUUGUAUAUAUAUAUAUGUAUAUACAUAAAUGUAUAUAUAUAAUUUAUAUGGGUGUGUGUGUAUGUGUGUGUGCGUGUGUGUGUGCAAAAUAUAGGGUAGUGAGUUCUUUUAGAAAUUUCCCUUCCAGUGGCCCAGCAUGUAUAAAAAGUCAAUAGACAACAUGUUCUCAAUAUAAAAUAGUGUACAUUUAAACACAAGAGAAAACUGCCUUGAACAGGCAUUUUUUACACGCUGGAAGAAGUAUCCAAUACGACCAAAACUGCUGACUGAAACUGCGCUUGCGCUGUAAAUUUGAAAAAUUAUAAUGUAUAACGAUAAGCCACGUGUUAUUUGUCUCUUAAUUAUAUGUUAGUGUUAUGUUGCGGUCACUGAUGAGAAAUUUGCCUAGCAAAUUAUUUUAUUUGCUAAAAAAUUUUGAAAUCUAUUUUUCAUUCUUUUUGAAGAUUUCUCUUAAAUGUGGUUUUGGUCGUUUUGACUACUUCUUCUAGCGUAUAAAAAAUGCCUAUUGAAGGCAGUUUUCUCUUGUGUUUAAAUUUACACCUCUCUCUCUCUCUCUCUAUAUAUAUAUAUAUAUAUAUAUAUAUAUAUAUAUAUAUAUAUAUAUAUAUAUAUAUACGUAUAUAUAUACAAUUUAUAUAUGUAUAUGUACAUAUAUAUAGGUAUAUAUAUGGAUAUAUAUAUAUGUGUGUGUUUUAUACAUGUAUGUAACUUUGUGUAUAUAUAUUAUAUAUAUUAUAUUUAUUACAUAUAUAUAUAUAUAUUAUAUUAUAUAUAUUAUGUAUAUUAUAUAUAUAUAUAUUCUUCCCAAAGAAGAUCGUCUUAUUGCAACAGCUCAGCUACUGGGUAGGGCUGGAACAGCUAAGACUCUACUCCCUGCAGCGUAGGCGGGAGGGGUAUGCAGUAAUAUACAUCUGGAAGAUCCUGGAAGAUUGUGCCAAAUUUUGGCAUUGAAAGCUACACCAAUGCUAGUACGGGUAGACACUGCUAAGUGCCAAAGUGUAAUAGUUUUUACAUUUUCAUUUUACUCCGACUGGCUUGGGAAACACUGGUUUAUGCUCUUAACAAUACAGUGCUUGUACAAAAAGGUCACUACAAUAUCUAGGUAUUAGUUAUAUUAUAUAUUCUUUAUCAAUACAGUUAUAGGGAGGAGACAGCAAUGAAGAAUACGGGAUCUUUCUGCUGGAUCACUGAAGACUGUGUCUUCGUUUCCACUUCUGCUCCAUUCUGCAAUUCACUAAAUGACAAAAAGACUCUUAAAGAGUGGUGUCGGCCGUUUAAAGUAGAGAUACAAUAUGAGGUGACAUACUUCAACUGUGAAUCGAAGCCAUAUUGCAAUCAUACCAUUCUACAAUGAAUGGACACUAGAGAGAGAGAGUGAGGAUAGUGUCAGAGAGAGAGAGAGAGAGAGAGGAUAGUGAGAGAGGCAGAGGGAGAGAGUAUAUUUUAUUUGAAUUCUGCUUUCGCAACGCAACUCCUUACACAGUGCAGGUGUUUAAUUCUCAUGCGAAACUUCAUUCAGUGGCGUACGGGAUUUAACCAUACUUCUUGGAAAAUAAUAGUCGUGGAGCAGGUUUUACAAUAUCAUGUAAUAUUAGACUAAAUGAAUGUGGGGCACUGAACCCAUUUGUACCCAGAGGUCGGAUCUCUUUGUAAUCGAUUAAAGUCAAUAUUUACAUACGUAUCGUUUUCUUUUAUUACAACUAACUAAAUGCUUCUACGUAUGGAUAUUGUUUAGAUUCAUCUGUACGCAUGCGUGAAUGAGAUUGCGUAGAUUUAUACGUAAGUCGCUAUGUUGAAGUAUGUGGGCGUAUACACAUUAUCAUUAACUUUAUGAAGCUCUUUUCAUUAAAUAUGCUAGAACUGAAUGAAGGCAAUUACAGUAUGUGAGUAUAUGAAUGGAUGAGGUGUUGAUGUGUAAAUACAGGGCGACUGAAUUCUCCAUCUGCCAAAAUUGAAGGCAUUGUGUGGCUGCAUUAGAAAACACUGUUUGUUAUUUAUUUAUUUUGUCUUUACAAAGCAGAAAAGUUUAGGAAAAAAGUUCAUGUGUGCGUGUGUGUGUGUGAGUGAGUGUGCGUGUUUGAAAAAAUUUCAUAUAUAUAUAUAUACCUAUAUCCAUUUAGCUCUCUCUCUCUUUUUCUCUUUCCCCCUCUCUCUCUAUAUAUAUAUAUGUGUGUGUGUGUGUGUGUGUGUGUGUGUGUGUGUGUGUGUGUGUGUGUGUGUGCGUGCGUGUGAGUGUGUGUGUGUGCGUGCGUAUGAGAAUUUCUUUUAUCAUUUCUUAAUUUCCAAUGUAUUGAAUAUAUAUAUAUAUGUGUGUGUGUGUGUGUGUGUGUGUGUGUGUGUGUGUGUGUGUGUGUGUGUGUGUGUGUGUCUGUGUGUCUGUGUGUGUGUGUGUGUGUGUCUGUGUGUCUGUGUGUGUGUAUGUGUGUCGUGAGUAAUUAUGUAUGUAUAUGUACGUAUGCAUAUAUAUAUGCAUACAUAAGCACAUGCGUACGUUAAUGCAAACACACACACAUACAUACGCACACACAUACAUACACACAUACAUGUAAGACGAUCAUUGUAAGUCUACAAAUAUAUAUAUAUAUUCCUUGUGGGCGUGCAGACUUAAAAAAACACAUAUUUCAUUAGCUCUACUGUGCACACGUAGUUAUUAUGCAUAACCAUAAACGAACAGGUUUUAUUAAAACAAAAAAUGACCUCACUUAUAAAUGAUUGAUAAUUUAUUAUUUGUCACAUUGGUUUUGAAACUCACAUACACCAACAAAAACACGCACAAGCAUGCGGCUAUCAACAAAACCUACGCAAUCGUACGCCCACUGACAGAAAAUACGCACACUAAAAGGAAGGCCUCAUAAUGACGUUACAGCUAACCUAGAAACAACAGCAAAAACGUCAAAUUAGCACCAUACUAUAGACGCGGAAGGACACGUGGAAUCAUUAUUUUAGGUGUACCAUGUUUGAAGCAAAACUACAUGCAAUGGUUAGAAAGAGUCAGAGCUAACCUGGACCUAAAUAGAUCAACACACCCAGUGUCCAUAUGGUUCUGUGUUACUCUGCCCUUGUAACUAAUUCGUCUACAAUCUACCUAUCUAUCUAUCUAUCUAUCUAUCUAUCUAUCUAUCUAUCUAUCUAUCUAUCUAUCUAUCUAUCUAUCUAUCUAUCUAUCUAUCUAUCUAUCUACCUACCUACCUACCUACCUACCUACCUACCUACCUACCUACCUACCUAUCUAUCUAUCUAUCUAAUCUAUCUGUCUACAAACCUAAAUAUUAGCUAGCUAACUAGCUUGUAAGAGCUUUGUUUCUCUCUUUUUUCCUCUCUCAUUCUCAAGCUCUCUCUCUCUCUCUCUCUCUCUCUCUCUCUCUACAUAUUUACAUAUAUAGUUAUAUGCAUAUGGAUACACACACACACACACACACACAUAUAUAACUAGCUAGCUACCUAGUUAGCUAGACAGAGAGAUACACACACAUAUAUAUACAUAUAUAUAUAUAUACAUACAUAUAUAUAUAUAUAUAUAUAUAUAUAUAUAUAUAUAUAUGUAUGUAUAUAUAGAUGGAUGUAUAUAUAUAUAUAUAUAUAGAUGGAUGUAUAUAUAUAUAUAUAUACAUAUACAUACAUUGUACAUGUGUGUGAAUGUGUGUGUGUAUUUAUUUAUUUAUCAUUCUUUAACAAGAAUAGCACUGACAGCUUUCAUCGGUCUGUCAUGCAUUUCAAUUAAUAUUGGCUUUAUAUAGUCCCUGUUGAGGAAAAAUCUUUCUAGAGUAUGUGGGAUUCAGUUUAAUGAAAGUUAGAAUGUAGGGUGGGUUGUAAUGGAGAGGCGUUAUUUACUAAAUUUGGGGUUAUGUUAUUGUUCAGCAUUUAUCAAUGCAUGUACAACCAUGUAAAUACGGGUGUAUAUUUAGGUGUAUCAGACUUAGGUCAUGAGAGUGUUAAUUAAUGGUCCUCAAAAAACAUGCAGGUAGGUAGAGGGAGGUUUUAGGCCCUUGGAUGUGUCACUAGUUUCAGUCACUUUCGGUUUUAUUAGAUUUAAUCCUUUACUUUGACAAUGUAAAGGUCAAAGUUUAUUCCCGCAUUUUAAAACUUAGUAAUUGGGUGUAUCAGCUUGUUAAAGAAUAAUGAAUAUGAACUCUACAAAUGUAUAGAAUAACCCUUCCGAUUAAUGUAAAAUUGUUUUUAUGAUAACUGAACAUAAAAACAAACACACACAUACACAUACUCUCAUAUAUAUAUAUACACAGGGUGGCCCAAAAGUAGGUUUACAGUUAUUCAAGUAUCGCUUUCGUAUUCAUAUAUUAACAGUUUAAAUUUUGAUUAUAAAAAAAAAAUGAAACCAUUAUUCUAUGCUAAUUUAGUCAAUUUUGUCAAGCUCCCUUUUCAGUUUGUAAGAUAGAAAUUUAAAUGUAAUAAAAUGUUUUAAAAGAAAGUUAAAGCGCCUACGGGUUAACUGUAAACCUACUUUUUUGGCCACCCUGUAUAUAUAUAUAUAUAUAUAUAUAUAUAUAUAUAUAAUGUAUGCGUGUGUAUGUGUGUGUGCGUGCGUGCGUGCGUGUGGAUGUGUGUGUGGAUGUGUUUCUUUUUCUCUGACUUACUCUUUCUCAAUAUGUAAACUCGGUUUUUCCUUACUCACUAACAAUAAGGUCACAAUUUCAUAGUUACCUUACACUCAUUCACGUAAAAGUCAAUCAGCGCUCCAUUCCACCUCACCACCACCACCACCAUCACAAUCAUCAGCACCACUGAAUAUCCAUAAAAAUAUAAUAUUUUCUUUAAGACCUCAUGCAUAACAAGCGUAACAAAACUCACUGAAAGGUGUGAGUCUUUUUUUUAAUGAAUCGUGUUUUAAAUAAAACACUGCAUCAUACACACAUACACUCACAAACACACACAUACGCUCACACACGCACAUACACUCACACAAACACACACAUGAUUAUAUAACUAUAUUUCUCACAUGUAAUAUACGGUUGUAUUUUCUGGGUAAUUUAUAUUUAUUUAUCAUUUAAUAGUGACGUUCCAGAUGAUUAUUAUCAUGGCUGACAUCUUAGGUAAUAAAAGCUGCACACGUAUUAUGUACACACAGUCAUACAUAUUCAUUCACAGGCGUAGGUGUGUGGUGGAAGUUUGUGUUCCAACCACUUGCUUCCGGGUUCAGUCCCACUACGUGGCAAUUUAAACAAGAGACUUCGGAUCUUUUCGGUUUGAACGGCAGUUUUUAACAUAAUUUCUAGGUAACUAAAAAAUUUUAAACUUCGUAUACUGGUAGAAUGUGUUUAUUAAACAUCUUUUUCUCUCGGCUUUAUUGAGAAGAUUCUAUAGUUUGUAAGAUAUUUGUUGUUGUUUUUUCUUCAAUUUCUGCAAUUUCAACCAAUCACUGACGUCUGUUGAGGUAAAAACCAUUCUGUGCCGUAUGAAUAUGUCCUUCGUUUAAGAAACAGAUUGGGUUUAUUUACAUUUGUGAAGAAAAAGAGAUACCCUUCCCUAAAUAAAAUUGAAAUGACUACGGUCAUAAUUAUGGGUGAUAAUUUCAUAUGACACCGCUAGAAAAAACUGCCGUUCAAACCGAAAAGAUCCGAGACUUCUGCUGUAGCAUCAGGUCGAUCAAUGCUGUGUGUGAGUUUGUCUCCCAUCACUGCUCGACAACCGGUGUUAAUGUGUUUACGUCUCCGUAGCUUAGUGGUUCGGCAAAAGCAAUCGACAGAAUAAGUUCCGGUCUUAGAAAAAAAAUGUAAUGGGAUUGAUUUGUUCGACUGGAAUUCUUUAACCCGAUGCCCCAGCAUGGCCGCCGCAGUCUAAUGACUGAAACAAGUAAAAUCAAAAACAAAAAAAACAAAAAAAUAUGUGAUCACAAAUACACACACUCACAUACGCACACGCACACACACAAACACACACACACAUACAUACGCACUGACGCAUUGAAUUACGAUAGACAUCCUCACUUUCACUCCAUUCAUUCAUAUUACACGCAUAUCAAAACGCGUUGAUUCAGUGUUAGCGUAUGUAAAGCGUGAGCAUCAAAAGCUAACUAAACAAAGUACGCCCACACGCGCCGCAAUACAAAGAACGUACUCCUACAGACGGACAACUGCGCAUGCGCACACGACUUGUAUCUAAAGCGAAUAAUAUCCAGUCUCACAUCGAUAAAUAUGAUUGUGAUAAAAAGAGUGAUAAGCAUGCGAUUGUAUGCGUGUGUAUUUAUAUGUAUGCAUGUAUGUAUGUAUGUAAUGUAUGUAUGUAUGUAUGUAUGUAUGUAUGUAUGUAAUGUAUGUAUGUAUGUAUGUAUGUAUGUAUGUAUGUAUGUGUGUGUGUGUAUGUGUGUGUGUGUGUGUGCGCGCGCGUGGGUGUGUGUUUACAUAGACACACAUUUCUAACUCUGCACUUACAUAUGCGUUUGUACAUCUGCCAUUGCUUAUGUGUGUGUGAGUGUGUGUGUGUGUGUGUGUGUGUGUGUGUGUGUGCGCGCGUGUGUGUAUAUAUAUAUAUCAUAAAUAUAAUAUAUACACACACACAUUUAUAUAUAUAUAUAUAUAUAUAUAUAUAUAUAUAUAUACACUCAAACAUAUAUAUAUAUAUAUAUAUAUAUAGAGAGAGAGAGAGAGAGAGAGAGAGAGAGAUUGAGAGAGUUUGAAAGAGAGUUUGAAAGAGAGUUUGAAAGAGAGUUUGAGAGAGAGGGGAGAAAAGGGAGAGAGAGACAUGUGUAUAUGUUAAGGAGAUGUUCAAGCGUAUACAGGUAACCACAUACAAAUAUAUGUGCAUAUAUACACACAUACGCAUAUGGAUAUUUAUAUACCCAUACAUGCAUGUACAUACGUGCAUAUAUGUAUGUACAUAUGUAUAUAUAUAUAUGUAUAUAUAUAUGUGUGUGUAUAUAUAUGUGUGUGUGUGUGUGUGUGUGUGUGCAUAUAUAUAUGUGUGUAUGUAUAUAUGUAUACCCGUAAACAUGUAAACACAUAUAUGAACAUACAUAUGUAUAUACAUUAACAUACAUACUUGCAAAACUACUCCCACACACAUUUGCGUGCACAUAUAUACAUGGAUACAUUUACAUACAUAUGUUAUGGUGAAAAAAUGAUAUGUAUGCGCAUACUCGACAAAAGGCCAGUGAUAACAACGUGACGCUUCGAUAUCAAAACAUUAUACAAUUUGUAUGUGUGUAUGUGUGUGAAUGCGAGAGAGGGAGAGAGUGUCUGUCUAUGUGCGUGUGUGUCUGUAUAUGCAUAUACGCCCACAGUCCUCAUAAUUCUUACAAAUAAGCUUCUCCUCAGAAUGUGAUAUACCUUAGAACCAAAACAAAUACGCAGUGAAAGAACUCAAAUAAAUACGCAGUGGAAGAACUGAAAUAAAUAAAUAAAUAAAUAAAAUCAACAAGAGGAAUAUUUUAAAAAUUCUAAAAAAAACUAAUAAACAGUUACGAUACCUUAUCUCGAUGUUUGCCACAACUAAUUAAUAUUAUUAAAUUAAAUCCUAACUCGUAUAUACCAGUGUGGCUAAAUCGCCGUUAUAUGCUUUGCUUCUUUAUUCAAUAAAGUCAUACGUUUUAGUUGAUGUAUGUCUGUAAUGAUGUAUGUGUACAAGCAGUAGAGGUGGAAUGGCCCAGUGGUUAAGACAGCGGACUCGCGGUCGGAGGAUCGCGGUUUCGAUUCCUAGACCGGGCGUUCUGUGUGUUUAUUAAGCGAAAACACCUAAAGCUCCACAAGGCUGCGGCAGUGGGUGGUGACAAACCCUGCUGUACCCUUUCACUACAGCUUUCUCUUACUCUUUCUUACUGUUUCUGUUGUACCUGUAUUUCAAAGGGCUAGUUUUGUCACACUCUGUGUCACGUUGAAUCUCUCCCGAGAACUACGUUGAGGGUGCGCGUGUCUGGAUUUCACGAGCAGGCUGUUCCGUUGAUCAGAUCAACUGGAACCUUCGUCGUCGUCGUAACCGACGGAGUUCCACGACGAUAUGUAUCAAGAACCUAUAAAAUAACUGUUUGUAAUUAAAGAUUCAUAAUUUUGGAUCUUACAAUAUUCUUUGAAUAAAGGUUUAAGUGUGUGGUUGAGAAGUUCAAAUCACAAACAUGUAGUUUUAGUUUCAUUGCUGUGGUACGGUACGUUAAACAAAUGUCUAUUCCAAUAAUCUUGGCUGAUCGAAGCCUUGUGAUGAAUUGGGUAAAGGAAAACUGUGCAAGGCAUCAGAUAUGUUGGAAGAUACUAUUUGAGUUGUUUUUCACGACAUGAAACUAUUGGUAGCUCAUAAAAAUACAUACUGUGUUUAUUAGAUAAUAUUUAUCUCUCACCAGAUGGAGUACUCACUGUCUUAGUUGAUCUUACCAUCAUGGAACAGUACACUAUAUGUGUGUGUGUGUGUAUAUAUAUAUAUGUAUAUAUAUAUAUAUAUAUAUAUAUAUAUAUAUAUAUAUAUAUAUAUAUAUAUAUAUGUAUAUAAGAGAGAGAGGGGGAGUGAUAUAUAUAUAUAUAUGUGCGUGUGUGUGCGUAUGUAUGUAUAUAUACGCAUACAUAAAUACAUGUGUAUGUGUAUGUUUGCGUACCUGUGUGUGUGCGUGCGUGCAUGCGCGCAUGUGUGUGUAUACGCACAUCUUUGUGUUCGAAUCACACUGCUUGAUCAGCGAUGUUAGUAUGUUUACGUCCACGUGCCAUAGCGUUUCAACAAAAAGAAACAGAUUUAAAGAAAUUAGUACCGGAGUUGAUUUAACAUACCAAGCUUUUGCAGGGGUGUACUCCAGCAUGGCCGCAGUUGAAUGGGUGAAGCAUGGAAAAGAGUAACAAAUAAAAGAGAACCGUUAAAAGGAAUUUGGAUGUAGUCCUUUCUUGCAUCUUGUAUCAACCAAACUGUGUGUGCAGUGACGGACUGGGUCUAAAAAUACUGGUUGCCAGGAGACUAAGGGGGUCCACCCGCAACUACAAGGAGGACCACCCUCAACUACAAUGCUAUCAUUUAAUGUUUUUUUUUUUUUUUGUUGAAAGUAUUCUUUUCAACUGUCUACAAACGCAGCCAGGCUGAAAUAAUGCAUUUUUCCAGGAAUGAAUUUAAAAGUUCUCAAAUUUUAGGGUAUGGGGUCCCUCAGAUAUUAACAUUCCCCCCCCCCCCAUAUAUGGAUUCUAAUGGCGCAGGGGCCCACUUGCCAUCGGGCAAGCUGGCAACCUGGCCAGUCCGCCACUAUGUGUGUGUGUGUGUGUGGUCAAAGAAAACAAUGUUGGUUAUACGUUAAUGACCGAAUAUAGUAAAAAAAAAUAGUCCCGCUAUCUUUUGAACAGCACCAAUCAAAAGAUAGUUUUAAAUAAUUCACUCGAGUUUUUCCGUCAAAGUUAUUAGUAUAGUUUUCAUUUUCAUUUUCUAAGAUAUGAAAAUAUUUGUACCCAGUAGAAAUUUAAUCAAUAUUUAUUGCCAGUUUUUAAGUUCAAAUCUCACCAACAACUUUAUUCUUCAUUCAACAGUCUUAAAGGACAGUUAAAAAUAACUAUCAGUAACAUGGUGCUUUAAUUCAAUAUAUUUUAUACUCUAUCGAACAAACUGGGCUUCCUAUAUCCUUUUCUACUCUAGGUACAAGGCCCAAAAUUUGGAGGGAGGGUCCAGUCGAUUAGAUUGACCGCAGUACACAACUGGUACAUAAUCUAUCGACCCCGAAAGGAUGUAAAUUUCUCGGUAACACACAGAAGCAUUUAUUAUGGUAGUAGACAUUUUUGCACGUCGUUCAAAAUUUGUACUUUGUGCUUGAAAAAUAAAACUCGUAAACCAGGGAUCUCGUAAUGCGGGACCUCGUAAACUGAAGUAUGUCGCUUCUAUUUUUUAAUUAUUAUAAAUCUUCCAUUGAGGAGGGAGCCAGUUUCCAACAAAGAUAUAAGGCUCUAUCUUUGGGAUAGAGCCUUGUAUUUUGGGGAUGAUCCUCGUAGGGUGAGUUAUGUAUGUAUGUAUGUAUGUAUGUAUGUAUGUAUGUAUGUAUGUAUAAUACGGACUUCUACAGUUUCUGUCCUCCAAAUCCAAGGCAUUGGCUCACCUAACGCAGAAGACACUUGCCCAAGGAUGGAACCCAAAACCUCGUAGUUUCAAAGCGAACUUCUUAACCACAGAUCCAUGCCUACGCCUGUAUAGUUAAUAGAAAUAAUUUUUCGUCCAAUCGUUUAAAUGUGUAUCUCUGGUUACAAAUUAAUCAUUUAAAAGUCUCAAUAAGUUCGGAUUUUAAAACAUACGACACCAGAAUCUUUGCCUCUCUAUCUCUAUGUCUCUCUCUUUUCUCUCUCUUUCUUUCUCUCUCUCUCGCUCUUCUCUCUCUCUCAUUUUCUCUCUCUCUCUCUCUCUCUUCUCUCUCUCUCUCUUGCUCUUCUCUCUCUCCCUUUCUUUAUAUUUCCCUUUCUCUUUUUGUCACUCUUUCAAGGCCUUUUGAAGUUCAGAUAAACAGAGAGAGAGAGAGAGAAACAGAGAGAGAAACAGACACACAGACAGAUAGAUAGACAGAGAAAGACAGAGAGUAUACAUAACUAACUUGCUUGAUAGAACGACCUAUCUAUCUAUCUAUCUAUCUAUCUAUCUAUCUAUCUAUCUAUCUAUCUAUCUAUCUAUGUAUCUAUCUAUCUAUCUAUCUAUCUAUCUAUCUAUCUAUCUAUCUAUCUAUCCAUUUAUCUAUCUAUUUAUCUGGGCCUGUUUUAUGAGCCAAUAUGCGGGAGUGGGGUGCAAAGUUAAGGGUCGACCCGGGCGGCACCUCUAACUACGCCACUGACAAUAUGGGACAAUGUGUAGAAAAGCUGAUUUUUAGAAUUUAUGAGUGUGUACCAUCAGACGGGCUUCCGCACAGUUAUCAUCUCUCUGAUUACUCACACUAAGAUAGCUUCAAUAAAAGCUAUGGUUGAAAAAAAAAAGUAAAAUUAUUUCUUGUCCAAUACGGAACGAAUUUACUUACCCCACCACCACCACACAUACACAAACAUACACACACACAAACAUGUAUUUCAGUAGGUGACAAGUUCAAAAGAAACUGAUUUGGUGGUCUUAGAAGAUUUCAAAGCAAAGAUAAGGAUUAAGAAUGAAUAAAAUAUUUAAUCCAUAAUCGCCAGACAAAAUAUGUCCUACUUCGUGUAUGGCUCUUCGGGAACCAUAAGUAUAAGAGUAGAGCUAUAGGCAAAGCACAAUAUAUUUUGGCGGACUAAUGAUCAUAUUGUGUGUGUGUGCGUGUGUGUUGACAUGUAUGUAUGCAUCUGUGUAUAUAUAUACACACAAAUACAUACAUACAUACAUUUUUGCUCUCUUUUCUUACUUCCAAAUUCCUUCCGUUCGUUCUUUCUUUUUCCUUAUUUCCGCCCCCUGUUUUUGUGUUCUGUUUUUAUCGCGCCAUGUCCUCCACUCUUUCUCUCUCUUCCUGUUUCACGAAGUAUCUCUCAAUCUAUCUGACUGUCAGUAUUUUCACGGUCUUUCACCUGUCCUUGCUUCGUCUUCUCAAUUUACCUAUCGCCCUGCCACCAUAUUUCUCCUAAUCAAUGUUCGUAAUGAAUAAGCAAGCAUAAAAGGUCAUACGUUGUUAGAAGGGUCAACAGGUAAUCAGGGAUAUUGACAUUUAUGUAUUUUCGCAAGACUUCCCCUAGCAACUUAAUAUCAUUUAGUGAUGUACUAUUAAUUCAGAAAAAUACUUGAAACAAGUCUUGCAUAGCUUGAACGGUCUUACAUUGGAAAAUAAUAAAACGUAUGCGAAGUGGAUAUAGGGUGUGAGGUCGACUCCCAUAUGCUACUAAAAUCAGAAGGAUUAAACUAAAUAUUGUAAUGCAAUAAACAGUUUGUUGUCAUGAUUCUCUUAUGAUUUUUACAAUAGUGUAUGGCAUUUAAAUGUGUUAAACAUGAAAGGUAAGCAACGAUAUUUCAUAUUAACGAAUGGAGGUUUUCAAAGCGAGGACGAUGUCUAUCUUGAUAUAUACAUAUAUGUAUAUGUGUGUGUGUGGGGGGGGGAUGUACAUGUAUAUAUAUAUGUGUGUGUGUGUGUGUGUGUGUCUGUGUGUGUGUGUAUGCAUGUAUACACACACAUAUAUGUAUAUAUACACAAACACACGUAUGUUUCACACCUACGUGAGUUUCUCAAGCAUACUUCCCGAACACUUGGCGAAUUAUUUCAGGACUCUUUGAUGAACUAACAUAAAAGAACAACACAUACACACACGCACACACACACACACACACACACACACACACACACACACACACAUGCACACACGCGCGCACGCACACGACCCCUACCCACAUGCACACGCCUCCUCCCACCAUCACACACACACAUUCAUAAAAUAUAAAAUAAACACCCUACGAUAGUCCAAGUGUUUCAAUGCCAAAGGCUUUUUUCAAAGCCUUUUUAAAGAAAUGUUUUGGUGUUGAAACAUCUACGCAAUUAUAAAACAUUUAUUUCUAUAAAAAAUACACUCUCUAUUCUUCCUGUUAUCGUGUUUCUUUGUUUUUAGUUACAGUCUUAAGCUUCGGAUUUGACCCACAAAAAGCUUAGAUAAGAAUCAAAAGAUCCAGAAAGUAAUUAAACAGCAAAACAAGCGAGCAAUUAUUCUAUCUUUCUAUGAUUGUAAAACACUAAGUUCAUGACAAAACCGGCUGUAUGGUAUCAUAGCUGCAAUAUUCAUGACCAUCGCAAAGUUAAAUGUUUUUAAUAUUCCCAGUCUACCAAAGGCUAAAUACAGCUCUAAUACGUUAAGGCUUUAGCGUUUAAAAUGGCUGUAUCCAGCCCAUAUAUUCUACAUAUGUUAUGUUCAAGCCGACCAGAUUUGGUCUUUCAUUCUAAAAAUAUACCAUCACAUUAUCAAAAUGACGGAGUUAUGAGAUAAUGUGUGAUUAAUUCAAGAUAAAAUAAUAAAAUAAGCAUUAUAUUGGACAAAGUAAUCUGAAUGCUAAAAAAUUAAAGUAACGCAUGCUUUACGAUGUGGCAUCCCACAAAGCCAAAAUAAUACAAAGGCUGAAUACGAAUGGAAAAUGGCUCUUGAACAAAAAAUAUAUUAAAGAAAAAACGUAGACAAUGCUUUAUUGCACAGCAUGUAACAACUGGGUGCAGCACUUUGAUUACAUUAUAUAUUACACAUUACAUGAUACAAUAUUCAUUAUACAUUAUUUAUGAUUGUAAGAAACUGAGUUGAGUUUAAAUCAUAAUGACGUUUUUCGGAAAUUAAUUUUGCAACUCCUUAUUCCAGAUGCAGUUAUUAGCUGUCUUUCUGUGAAAAUUAU